GGCCAGGCCCCGCUGUCCGCCAGCCUCAGGCCUCGCGGGUCCGCACGCCGGGCCGCUUGGUCUGGACCACGGAGGUCACUGGCUCCGGCCCAUGGGCUGCUAUUUUGGUCUGGGAGGCUGCGGCCUCUGUGUGCCCCAGAUAGGGCCUCGCACUCAGACAGGUGGGGAGGUCGGGCCGCGCGGUUCGGUCACCGCCCCAGAGCCCACGGGCAUUGCAGGCCUUGGCUUCCUGUAGGAUUUGGGCUGCUGCGGUCUGAACCGGCCAGAACCACAAGCCUUAGCUGGGCUGCACCUGUUGCCUCAGCUUGACUCUGCAUCUGACAGAGGGAGGAAACCGAGACCUGGUUGCUGAAAUGUCUGCCCGCACUGAGGAUUAGGUGAGUGAAGAAAUUUUGCCUGCCGCAAUGGCUGCCUUUAGCAUGGGCUCUUCAGGAGGUCUGUCUUCAACCGUCCACCUGUCUCUCAGCAGCCAUGUCUGGUCUGUGCAUGGUCCUGUCCGGGACUAGGGAGCCAAGGAGAUAGCAUGUCAGAAAGCUCAGACGUUUCCAGCCUAUGUGAGAGCUGAGGCUGCAGUGUUAUUUAUGGCCUCGAGUGAGUAGGUGGGGCCUCUUCGAGGUGGUAUGGGGUGAACUUACUUGGGUGGAGAGCCCUGCACUCAGAUCAGCGGGGUGGGAAGGGGCUAGGGUCAGUGCCCCAGCCUGGGGACACCCCCCCCCCCUGCAUUGGUCCCUGGGAACCAUUCUGUCAGGAUUUCCUUGUGGGUUUUGAAGGAGGCCUGUCUCCCCACCUUGGGGUGCAGGCAGAGGUGGCCCUAUUUCUCUGGUGCCUCACUAGCUCAUAGGCCUGCGCCUGGUGGUCAGAGAGAUCUGGGGAGGCUUCCGGGGCUGCUGGCUCUCACACGUCUCCUGCCUCUUGAAUGUGCAGGAUGGAGGGCAGUGCACAGGGCUUCAUGUUGGUGUGAGGUCAGGAGCACAGGUGUGCAGAGCUGCACCAUGCACAGCAGCCCUGGGAGGACCUGGACCCUUCCAUUUGCAGAUGAGGACACUGAGGUGCAGGGUGGUGAGGGGAGGUGCCUGUGCACUGGUAGGGUCAUCUCCAACCCUGUUGCUGCCCCCUCUCCCUACUGUGACUGGUCCACUUGCUUCACAGGUGCUGCCUGUUAACAUGGGGAGCAGGGGAAUGCUCCUGUCCUCACAGUGCUGAGGACCUCCGAAGCCAGUGGUGGCACAUCCCUGUGCAGGAUCCUGGCCCCGUGUGACUGCAGAGUGAGGUGGCUGACCCUAAGGGCAUGUGCUGGUCCAUACCCCACCCCAAGACAGGCCAGCAGCCCACAAGGGCUGGGAACAUUGUGUUCUCAGCUCACACCUGCAGUCACUUGGCAGUUGUCACACUUAAGCUGGGCUUGAGCAUCUGGGGUAUCCAUGGCAGCUCCCGGAAGCAACUGUAUCCAGCCCAGGGGCCCCGUGGGUGGUUCUUGUGUUUCUGGCUUAUCUACUUGCUGGGAUGGAGCAGGAGAGAAGUGGACUGGGGGAGGCAGGGAGCUCUUUGUCUGGGUUGGUUGGGGCCAGCCACCCCUGCCCCCACUGAUCUGCCUCCUGGAGGAUUGGCUGGUGGAAACAGCUGGAGGAGGUGCAGCCACUCAGACCCCGUACCAUUUGUGCCUGGCCCCAGAGGCUUGGCAUAAUGGUUUGUGCAGGCAUGUGUGCAUUAGAAGGGGUUCCCAGAUGUGACUUCUGUUUAACAUGGAGGAUAUUAAAGUCCCUGCACCCAGUUGUGCAGAAACCCCCAGUCCUCCAGCUCCCAUCCAUGGGCAUCUCAGCCUUCUGAUCCUUCUGAGGACUUAGAGACCUCCUCUGGCUUUGACUUUCACAUCACAGAUAUAGUGGUCCCCCUCAUGUGGAGUUUGCUUUGCCUGGCUUCAGUCGCUGUGAUCAAUCAGAAGGCUGAGGACAGUACAAUGAGAUAUUCUGAGAGAGAGAGACUAUACAUACUCACAUAGCUUACUAAAGUGUCUUGUUACAUUUGUUUUGGUUUACUAUUGUUAAUGUCUUACUGUGUUGAACUAGUAAAUUACAGGGAAAAGCAUAGUACACUAAUGUUCAGUACUGUCACUGAGUCUUGGAACAUGUCCCUGUGGGUAAGGGGAUCCAUUGUAGUCUGCAGACAAAAGGGCAUCUAACAUUUUUCAGAGACCUUUUCUCGUGCGAAUGGUUGAUACAGAUAGCUUUUCAUUUGGUGGAACCUCAGUGUGGGGACAAAACAGGCAUUGUCCUUCUUGUUGCCCCUGUGGGUCUGCUCUGUGAUGGCAUCCUGAAAAUUCAGCUGAGAAUUGAAGGGUGGCCUCUGUAGGGAGCUGGUGUGUCCAGAAGGUCUCUCAUGUGAGGGCAGUGACUGGGUGUUUCUGGGAGGCCCAGCUGCCAGGAGUGGUCCGGGUGCUGGAGUGCCCUGCAGGCUGCUGAGCAGUGCUGAGAAUGCAGAAGCUUAGACAGCAUGGGCUGCCAUGGUUUUGAGGCCUUGGGUGGAGGACAGAUUUCACCGGGACAUCUGUCUGGGGAAGUCAAGAGUGACAGCUUCUGAGGCUGUGACUUGCCUGUGGUUUGUUUUCUUAGAUCCAAGCUCUUCAACUUGAGCGUGGUCAUGGGGAGAAGCUGAAUGCAGAAGAAGUACUUGGGGUUUUGUUGUCAUUUUGGUGCUGCCUGGCUUUAGAUUUUCUUUCCUUUUCUCCAGCCAUCUACUUCCUCACAAUCCCGUAGUCCUCCCUGCGAGCUGCUCUGCUGCCCUGCAGUCCCAGGGUGCCCCCAGCUCCUGAGGCUGUGCCACCUGUGGUGACAUGGGGCUGGCUCAUAGGAGGUCUGCUGUAUUUUUAGCAAGUGUCUGAAAUACUUACAGAGCUGAGAAUAGGAUGGUUGUGCAUUUAAUUAAAUGACACUGAAGUGGGAGAUGAUUACUUCUGCAUGUUUCAGUAGGCCCAGUGGGAACUCUCCGUUCCUGCCUAGUCCUAUGGCUAGAGCCCCACAGGGCUAUCACCUUCGAAAAUGCCCCCGGGCCCUCCCCCAUGCGCACCCAGGGUCCUGAGGGUGCUGAUCUGAAAGUCCUGGGUUCAUUAACACACCUAAGUGCCCCUGUUCUUAAUGGUAAUCUGUGUGUUGUCAGCACAUAUUGUGUUAAAGCAUACACCAUGGACGCAGCCAGCAGGUCAUUAUGGAGGAAGCACGUGUACAACCUUGGGGCAUCCACUGGCUGUGAUAUGACAGAGAAUGAGCAACAUCCAGCCACCUGAACAUAGAUGGGGGCCAGCCCUGAGCCAAGACUGUACCAUGGCUGCAAGCCAAGGGCCCCUCAAUAGGGACUGAAAACUCUGAACAGGCUCUUCACAGCAGCAGCUGAGUGUGGGCUGUCCUGCUUCUCUGCUGUAGAUACUACUACCCAGUCCUGUGGCUGGACACCACACCUGGCACGGGCCCUCAGAGUGUGGCCUGUCAGAGCUGGGAUGAGACUUGGAUGUCAAAUCCCCAGCCCACUUGGAAGACUCAGCAUCCAGAAUGUGCUGUGCCUCCUUCAGGAUCUGUGUGUCAAUUACAUGUUGGAGCAUCAUGAUUUGCAUGUACACUGGGUCGGAUGAAAUUGUUACUACAGUGAACUUGGUCUGCUUGCAUUUGCUUCUUGGGAUGUGACUUCUAGCAACAUCCGAGGUCACCGUCGGGUGUGUUAGGUGCACUGGUCUGGCGUGCAGUAGGGUGCUAAGGUUUGCGCUCCCUCCCAUCCAGGCUGGCUGUGAGAGGCCUUGAAGCUGGCAGCAGAGAGAGUUCUUGUUCUCGUAUUUCUGCAGAGUUUCUGGGCCUUUCUCCUUCAGGCCUUCCCUGCCCUGCCCUACCCUGCUGAGCUCACUGCAGUUCUGAAGGUCCUGUGUUCUCCAGGCCUCAGUCCCCCUUGCUUUCUGUGGUAAAGAAGCAGUGCAUUCGUUUGCAGCUGAUUUUUCAUAUCGCUGCUGUGUCUUGAGCAGAUGGGUUGGCAGCUGGGCCUGCAUGUCCUGGUUUCAGAGACCCUAUGCUGUAGCCCAUGCCAGGAGGGCUGUCCUUGGAAGCCUCUCUCACCCUCCACCUCACUUGUACUUGCUUGGCAGCCUCUGGGGUCUGGAUGGAGGGCUGCGGCCUGCCCAGCUGUGGGGCACCCAGCCAGAACCCUGAGAAAGGACCCCAGGCACUGUCACAUCUGCCCAGGCUAUUUAUAUCCCACAAAGGGCUCAUUUUUCUUUUCAGAGUGGCCGUGUGGCCAUGUGGUCAUGCACAUGAGUGGAGCUGGUGAGACCAGCCUUUCACUGAGCAGCUUUUGGACAUGCCUGGCACAUUCUCACCCACAUGCAUGCUGUAUAGUUUCAUGCCAGCAGCUUCUCGGAGCGCUUGGGGAGUGCAGCCUGUGUCGGGGCAGCCUGUGUGUGUCGGGGCCGCCUGUGUCAGGUCCACAUCACCUGGAGAGGGAAUGUUCUCUGGUGCAUCUCAUACGGGAUAGUGCCUCAGCAAAGGAACCAGCAUUGGGCCCCAUGCCGCCACCACCCCUGCUGCUGCCUGCUGUGUAAAAGGUGUCACCACCCAGGGUCUUGGAUGGUGCAAGCCUCAGGCCGAGUCAGAGGGCUGUUCAUGUGUGCAGGAAGUGGCAGCCCUGAGAAUAUUGUGAGGAGCAAACUUGGCCUCGCUGCCCUCUGAACAGACAGCCCUGGGCAUGUUGUUGGAGGAAAGAGGGUAGCAGGUCCUCUCUGGCCCUGUUGGGAAGACAGGCACUCAACCUUGGAGCGGGGCCUACUCCCAGACACUCACAGCCUCAGGGUCUUGUGGGAUUGUUUUUGUCCCUUGUAUAGACUGAAUAGUGACCCCCAAAGAUACCUGGCUCAAAUCCCAAGAACCUUGAAUGUGGCCUUGUAUAAAUAGUGUUUUGCAGAUGUGAUUAAGUUAAGGAUCUGGAGGUGAGGAGGUAGUUCUGGAUUAUCUGCUGGGCCCUGCGUGUAUCCUUAUGGGAGGGAAGUAGAGGGAGACAAGAAAGGAGAAGGGGAGCAGGCUGUGCAGAGGGGAAGCAGACACUGGAGUGAUGGGGAGUGAGGGAGAAGUGUAUGUGCCAACUUUCCUGGGUUGGGCUGCCCAGAUAGGUGGUCAGGCAAGAGGUGUUCCUGGUGAGUUGAGCAUUGGCACUGGUGGGCUCAGUAAAGUACAUUGCCCUCCAGUGCGGGUGGGCCUCAUCCAGUCCUGAGGGCCUGAACGGGACAGAAAGAAAUCCCCAUGCUGACUGCCUGCAGAUGAACACUUCAGCCCUCUUAAAUCUCCGUCUCUCCAGCUUGCAGACAGCAGAUCUUGGGACCUCAGCUUCCAUCAUCAUGUGAGCUGUGUUCUCAUCAUGAAUCUCUUUCUUUCUGUCUCUCUCUCUCUCUCUGUCCACAUCCUGCUGAAUCUGUUUCUCUGGAGAACCCUGGAUCACCAAGGAGCACAAACCAAGGGAUGCUGGCAAGCCACCAGAUGGAGAGAGAGGCUGGGAAGGGGGUCUCUCAGAGGGAGGGAACAUACUACCUGGCUCUGUGUUUGGUCCAGUGAUGCUGACUUCAACUCCUGACCUACAGAAGUGCAAGAGAGUAACUUUCUGCUGUCUCCAAGGCAGCCAGUUUGUAGUAAUUGAUGAGAGCUGUAAACAGUGCUUCCCUCAAUACUUGGGCCCCAGCCUCCGAGCUGUCAUUCUGUGGCUUAAAUUUCAGGGCAGGACACCGCUGGGUGUAAGGGCAUGUGUGUCUUUAUUUUGACAGAUCUUGUCAGAUGAGUUUCCAGAGAGAUCUAAAAGGUGGUCCCAGGUGGAGGACCCUCGUCCUGCAUCUGCUCAGCAGUGGCCUGAGGUGUCUCUCUUGACUCAUCGGGCUCGGGGGCAGUAACAGCUUAGAGUGGCUGGUUUCCAUGAUGCAUGAUGAGUGUGGUGUCUUUGCCUUGUGCUGUCCAGCAUGUGGAUCCUUCUGUGAACCGCCUGUUGUGUUCUUUGACCCCAUUUCUGUGGGACAGUCAUCCCUCUCUUACCUGUCUAUAGGGAAUGUGUGUUUCUUAUAGAUCCUCAGUCUCCAACCCGCUUCUUUGAACACUGAAGUCCCAGUUUCUCUGUUUGGUAGUAUUUAUCUUUCUUUUCUCUUAAGGCUCGUAGGUACCAGUGUUUGGAUUAUGUGGUCUGCCUCAUGAUUUUCUGACAGGAGUUCUUUUUUUCUGUGUUUGAAUUAAACUCUUGAAUGUGUCUAGAAUCCUUUUGCAUACUAAGGGUUAAACUCUGUUGCGGGGCUGGGUGUGUAACUCAGUGAUGGAGCACUUGCCUAGUGUGUGCAAGGCCCUGGGUUCGAUCCUACCAUCACAAGACAAAAAAAGAUGUUAGAAAGGAAGUCCAAGUCCAGUCAUUCCCUUCCAGGGUACUAGCCCCAGUCAUCCAUGCUUUGGUCCACUGGUUGAACUGCAACUCUGUAGUCUGUUGUGUUCCUGUGUUAGGUGGGUUCCAUCUGGAGUGCCUCCUCCCGUCUCCACUGGCCUGUUUGCCAUUUCACAUGCCUGAGUCACAUCAGGAGCAUUUUAUAGCCUGUGUUGAUAGCUGAGGGAGGAAGUUCCCCUGCUGUGCCUUGUGUGUGAUGAAACACUGCUUUAAUAUAGCGAUGAGAGAAGAGGUCCUUCACAGUGUGUGUUUUCUCUGGGUCUUGGGCAGAGGAGGUUGGAGUGGGGCAGAGCAGCUGUGCCGAGGCGGCAGCCAGGGAGAAGGCUGUGGAGGUUGGCAAAGGAGGACCUGGGGAAACAGAAAAGCAGACCCAUGUGUGCAGAACUGCACCUGGGCUGUGGGUAACUUCUGUGGGAUGAUUAAACAUGUGAGCCAGGAGUGGUCAAGGCAGUCAGCCACUAAGUGGCAAGCAAGGCUGUUGGUGAAGGUGGUGCAAAGAUGGCAGCUUGUGCAGGGCUCCUGCCCGCAGCUUGGUUUCCUUUGUGUGCGGUGCCCUGACCUGGCCCUGGCUGGGGUGGGCACAUGUGUGGGGCUCCGUGUGUACAGCUACAGUUGGCAGGGGUGUGAAUGUGGUGUUGUGUACCACUAUCACAGGCGCCUCUGGCCCUAGUCACCUUCAGGGAGUUACGCCCAGUACUGCCCUGGCCCUCUGUUGCCUGGUGCCCCCAUGGUCUCUGAAAGCUUUCUGUGCUGCCAGAGCUAGGCUGGCUCCACCCUCGCCAGGAGCAUAGUGAGGUCAGGGCUGCUUUGUCCCUUUGUGACCCUGGCCCUGCCUGUGCUGUGGGUGGAGGUGUGGAGAGGCGUUCAGGUGCCUGACUCCACACAGGACUAACAGGGAGACUUGAGGAAGUGGGGCCCAGUCCUGCCUCAGAGGCGGACACUGGGUGAGGCUGGCUGAGGUGCUGCUGAUUCCAGCAGCUCACUUGCCCGAGUCCUCCUUUGGCUGUGGCUGCCAGCUCAGCCUGCUUUGCAGGUAGCAGUCAUAGGCAGGUGGGGUCCAAGUUGUGCUUUGCAGAGAGGGAUCAUUGUCUUCCAGAGACCUGGUAGCUCUACAGGAGCAGCAGGACUGCACUGAGGUCAGUGAGAAGGUAGAUGGGUACUGGGCUGGAUGGAAGAGGUGGACAGAGUGCCUGGACCCUUGGGUGGAACUGGGCCUUGUGGGCGUCAGGUUGCGCCUAAGUUCUUCCUUUAUCUAGGCUCUCACAAAGCCUGUGGAACACGGGUACUAUUCCUCUCCAGUGCUCCCUGUCCUGGGGCCUGGAUGGAUAGUCAUGUUCACGCCUUGCCUGGGAAGUCCCUGUAAAGGGGCCUGAUGGGGCUGGACAGGGCCUCUGUGUGGGGGAGCUGGGAAUCACAUCUUGGGUUGAAGAACUGGCCUUCUCCUCGGGACAGCUGGAUACAGGGUGUCCUCCUGCUGUGGAGCAUGGUCCUCGUGGGUGUCAUAUGUGGCUCCAGCACCCAUGAAAGGCCCUGACCUACUGCAGGUCAUGCAGAUAGGUCUCUAGCUGGCCUAGCCAGAGGACCCAGGAUUCAUGCAUGUGACAUACGUCUGGUCAAAGCCAGAGUGUUGGCAAGCAUCUUCCUGAGGUCUGUGUUCUUUGUUGGGAAAAGGAAGCAGGACAGGAGGAGGGCCUUGGUCCUGCUGGGCACUGGGUAGUGCUGAUCUAUCCCAGGGCUGGAUGAAUGAUAAACCUACUGGGAGCCUUUCCCACACUUGUGUGCUGACCCCUCUUGGGGCUUGGGGCCAAUUCUCUGUCAGCAGGUGCGGCCUGCAGAGGUAGAAGGCAGUCAUGUUUUCAAAGCUUACCCUGAACAGCGCGGGGAGAAUGCAGUUGGCUGAGUAUGUGGUAUGUUUGUAUGCGCAGGUAUCUGAUCAGCCCUGCCUCUCCUCCCUUCCUGGCUACUGAAUAUCUUGGUUCUGUGAGAUUUUGCUGCAGCCUGGUUUCCCAAUGACUCUUCAUGUAUUUCUGUGACUUGAGGAGUGAGGACUACACUCUCCAGUGAGGACUCUUGGAGACUUGCCUGCUUGGAGAGACCAGGUGGCUUUUCCUUGUCAGGCAGGAGUCCUUUCACCACACUUACAGCACCAUCCCCCGGAGUUCCUGUCACUGCCAUGGCUCCUGACUUUGACCAAGGCCACAUCUAAGCAGCAGCAUGUCUCAGGCCUGAGACCAUGGCCUUAGGCCAGCAGGGAAGGGAAGAAACCCAGCUCACUGGGUGCCCAUGGCAGGGAGGGCCAGCAGCACAUGAGCUUGCAGCAUGGCCAGUGUUGGUCUGCAUACCCAUACCCUGUGUGAGGUUCAGGCAUGUGUAGUGUUUUGGGGAAGAGAGAUGUUUAAACACAGCCAUAGGAACAGGGUUGGUCUCGUGAGGAGCUGUUGCUUUUCUACUGACAUUUCCUGAACGUGCUGUGAUCCCAUAGCCAGAUCAUCUCUUAGAGACAGUGGACAUGAACCCCUUCCACCAGUCUCCAUUGCUUUGUGCAUGGUGCUGGGCUCCCCUUUCCCUUAGAUCUGAAGCUGGAAUUUAACAGGAACUGCAGACCCACGAAAGCAAGCUAGAAGCAAUCACUUUGAUAUCUAAGAGGGAAGCUGAACCCCCAAGGACCGGGUGGGGCCUGUGGAAUCCUCAUACUCAGGACCCCAGAGCCCUGAGGAGGAGCCCCAGGGCAAUGGGAUCACUUUCCCCUCCUGCUUCUUCUCAGGGUCUGGGGCAUCCUGCUGCAGCCUGCUGGACAUGAUCUGCCAUGCAGCCCAAGCACUGUGGCCUGGCCCUUCUGGAUGUCCACUAUGCUGGGCCCAGUUCCCUAACAUUCCUCUCCACAGCCCGUCUACCCUGAAGGAGAUCCUGACUGACUGAGUCCCAUGUUUUUGUGGAAGGGAACAUCAGGGCAGCUCUUUGUACGGUUGGUGGCAGGUCGGCUUGGGCCAGGCCUCAUUGGUGUUGCAAGAAGGGCUUAGGAUUGGUGGGUUGUAGCUGCUGAGGAGGCAGUUUGCCCAGGGAUGUAGUUGUUAUUCUUAGAAGGCCUAGUUGCUCUCAGCAGCUUGGUGAGCAGGCUUUGGAUCGGGUGAGACGACGUUCAGGAGCUCAGCCCAAAGCUACAUGCUACUUUGUGUGGAUGAACAAGCAUUUGCUAGGAUAGUCAAGUGAUAAUCAGAGUCGAAGUGUGCUUGUCAGACUUCUGACCCCUUCUGACUCAGGUCUCUCUCAGGGCCGCCUCCAGCUCUCCAACCCCGUGUCUGCCUGCGCAGGAUGGAUCACAGCUUGUCACACACGUGUGACACCCAGCAGUGUGCUUGGAUGUCUUGCCCACUGGCUGAGCCCAUGAGGGUAGGUAGGUCCCUGAAAGUCUGCUCUGGCAGCAUUGUAGCAGCUCCUGGCAGGCAGGAGGGGUUUGGGGAUUGUCUGCACAUGGAUGGGAAGGGGUAUUACACACAGUGCUGGGGAGCUUGAGGGUACUGGGGGGAGGCCUCCCUUUUUCCAGAUCAGAGGGUACUUCACCCAGAAGGGCUCGGUAGCUUUGGGUGAUACAGAGUCUUCCCAAGCAGAUGGCAGUGCUGAGGGGGUCAAGAUGAUAGGGGGGCUGGUGCACAGGGUGUGGGCAGUAGACCAGGCAGUGUGACCUGCAUAGUUUGGGGUAAAGAGUCUGGAUUCUAAUCAGAAGUCAGCAGAAAGCCAUUGAGAGGUUUUUAGCAGACACAUUGGACCAGAUUUGGAUUUCAGAGAUGCUCAUGCAGCUGAACCAUGGAGGACCAGAUGGAAUUGCAGAUGCAGAGAAGGAUACAGGGCUAGAGAGGAAUCCAGGGAGGACAGUGUGGUCACUGAAUGCCAGCCAGAGGCUGGAGGUAACCACGACCACAUGGCCACCUGGGUUAAGAUGCUAACAUGACUACAUGCUUACCCUGGGUGGGCAUGAGUGGAGGUGCCCUAGCCCGGGGGGGGCUCCCAGGAUAGGGCAGGUUCAGAGGGAGGAAGCUGACCCCAUGAACAGGCUGGUCCCUGGUGGCCAGCUCUGCUCCUGCCUGCGGCUGGUGUGUGCCCUUUGCAGCUCUGAUGAGGCUGAUGGAGGCACUGGGCACUGCUGCAGAAUUAUAACUCAGCAUGCUCUGUCUCUGACUGGGGUGAACUAAUGCUUAAAAUCAAUACUGGAAUGUGGUGGACGUGAGCAUGGGUCAGUCAUCUGGCCCAAUUUAAGCAAUGGAUUCCUCAGACUUUUCUGUAGUGAGAAUCUUUAGUACCUGUCGAUAGGCGUUUAAAAACUGAUGCUUGCUGUUGCUUUUUACCAUACAUCUGAGUGACCUGUCGAUACACUCUGAGGUUUGGGUUGCCUGGGAUGAUCUCUGGAUUGGCUGUUUGCUGAGUUAGUACCUUUAUACAGAAAUGAAGCCACAUUAUGCAUCCUAUUAUUUAUGGGGGUGGUGCAUGCUGCUGUUUGAAACCAUUAGCCUCUCUUUGGCUAAUUAAAAGCCUUCUUUUUCUUUUUUUGGACAAUAGUGCUGGGGUUUGAACCUAGAGCUUUGCCCAUGUUGGAAGUGCUCUACACUGAGUUGUGUCCCUAGCACCAAAUCCUCAAUAUUUUUUGUGAGAAGUCUGUAAUAACUGGAGACAUAUCUUGCGCCAUGUGUUUUUCCUAAUGUCACUGUUGCUUUAAGAAAACCACCUUCAGGUCUAAUUAUCCUCCUAGGUAAUUUACAGGCUGGAGUGGUCUUACCCCUCCUCUCAACCCAAAGAUCUUAAAGGUAAAGAGGAUUCAAGGGAAUUCUGUUCUUUAAACCAGAUAAGACAUACAUUCUCAGUCUGUAAACCUGGCUUGGCAUUAUCAAGUUUAUAAAAGUUGUUAAAGUACAUGAAUUAUAUUUGAUUUCAGCCCAAGUAUAUAAGGAAUACUUUGGUGUUUGCUUUGAAAUGUCUUUAGAGCUAGAAAUCUUCUUUGUUUCUUGGGAAUGACAGAAGAAAGCAAUUUCCUAAUGUGGGUUUGACUGGUGAUGGAUUAAUAUUUUUCUUAAUUUCUCGAUCCCAUCUCUGUUAUUAGACUCCCGGUCUCCAGACCCCUGCAGUGAAUGUCAUCAGGCCCACCCUCUGCCCUUUCUGUUUUCUGCUGCUGGCCCAUCCAGCCCUGAGGCCCCUCUCUCCUCCUUCCCUCUCUGCAGGGACUGCACAGAUGCUCCUGCCAUCCUGGCUCACUGAAUCCUGCUGAGUGUGGCCCACUCCGCUCUAGCCCUUGUAGAAAUUAAAUAAAGGCUGCUAGCUCGCUGGGUAAGAGGGGACGGAGCCAUGUGCGGGGCAACCAGUGGGUGUGUCGUGUCCUGGCAUGCUAGAAGUGUCAAUUUGUCAGCUGGCCAUGAGCCUCAGUUUCUGAUAUUAAAGACUUUUAAACUUAGCACUGGGACCUGCCCUAGCUCCUGUCCCAGCUAUGUCCCAGCUAUGAGCCAGAGUAGGCAUCUCUGCAUUCCUUGGAGGGGCAGAGCUUGCCCCUGCCUUGCUUACCUCUGAGCUCAGAGACACACUUGUGUGUCUGCCCAGUCAGGCCCCUGCUUCCUGCAGUACCAGCCAUGCCAGCUAGACCUCCCAUCAGUCACCCCAUGACCAGAGGAGCACCAGGAACUCCUACCAGUGGCAGCACAGAUGGGUCAGUGUUGCAGUCAGAGUGCCACCUGUGUCCUCCAUUUGUGCCCUUCCCUUGAGGGCCGGACAUGGCCCUAGCAGCAAGGGGAACUGCUGUCACUGCUGUCUGUUGGGGACCUAGCGGAGAGAGAGAGCCACUGCUGGAAGCAGAGCCUGCCAUGUUGGGGGCUCAGAGAGCUUUAUGGGUGUCCAGCUGCUUAGUGUAUGAUUGUCUGAUUGACCAGUGGGCAAUGUGCCCCAUGGAGGGCUCCGGGCUUCCCAGAGCAGCUUGAGCACUCAGGUCUCCACCCUACCCGCUCCUCAGGACACCAUGUGUCACCCACUUGUGUCUAGACAGCCUCAAGUUUGGGCUCCUGGCAGCUAUCGUUUGGAAGCACUUGCUUCCCUGUUGAGUGGCCGCCCGGUCCAGCUGAAGCAGUAGUCAGCUGUACACCAUGCUACAGCUCCACACGUCACCUUACAGUCUGCCUUCCCGCUGCUGCUGGACCCAGAUGCCUGGGUCAUCUUUGUGCUUACUGUGGGCCUUCAUGCUCAGAGAGGCUGAGGGACCCCGCCAGGGCCUCACAGGACCAUUUGAGGGAAGCUCAUGAGAUUCCAGCACUUUUGUCCCUCUGGGCCGAGCGAGCAGCCCCUGCCCCAUGGCUGUGUGCAGGGAGAGCUGGAUGUGGGGCAGCAUCCUGUCCUUGCACCUGGAGGUGCUGUGCUUCUGUGGCCUUUGUGGUCCUGAGGAUGAGGACACGGUGUUGAGUGGUCCCCUACCCCUGCCUGGUGGGCAGUGGCAUGCACAGCAUGGGAGGGUGCUAGGUAAGCAGCCCCUUUUCCCAGAGUCUGACUCCCCUGCCCCAGCCCCUAAGUGGCCCUUCUCUGCCCGUGAAUUACCCACACAGGAAAACAAUCGAGCCCACAUUACAGAACAGCCCUGCUAUUUAUAGGGCAGAGAAUAGGGGCAGGAUGGUUCCACGACCUGCAGACAAGACUUACCACGGGUCCUUGUUUGACUACUGAAGGCGCCUUGUUGUGGCCCUAGUGGGCGCAGCUAUCUGCAGCACAUCCCCUCACCCUGUCCCACACUGUACACACUGAUGACAGUCCUUGAAACCCCUGGAAGUCAGGAUGACAUCCCCAACAGGCAGGAACGGAGUGUCCAGAUCUGAUGGUGCCCUGGGGAAAGGUGAAGCUGGUGGGGUGCUCUGGGGCUGGGCUUUUCUCAUUUGUGUACAUGGUCUGAGCAUAAGGAUUGCACCCGAGGUGGCUGAAGCCCAAUGAUGGCCACUUGCUGGAGGACAGGAGGAGAAGGAUGCCUGGGCAGACUUGAUAGGAUUCGCCUCACACUGUUGUGUUUCAAAGGCAGUGGGACGCUACUGAGGAGCACCUGGGGCUGACCUUGGUUCCUUCUCCUGGGUGGCUGAUAGAGCACCCCCGGGACAUAUGGGAACCUCUGGAAGGUGGGUGUCUGGCUUUGUGAAUGCACUUAUCCAGAGGCUUUUUCUCUUUCCCGUGUGUGCUCUGUAGGGAAGGGGUGGUGGCUGUGGGCUCCUGGCCUGGCAUCACCUGGUGUGGUCUUGGCAGGGCCAGCAGCAGGCAGGGCCUGGUGGAACUGGCAGGACUUCCUGUGCCUGAAACCAGGGCAUUGGCUGCUCUGUGACACAGACUGGGGUGACCUCACAGCUGCUGGGUUUUAUAAAUUGAGGUGCAUGCUGGGCAUCAUAUCCUGUAUGUCCCAAGAGUGUGCAUAUCAGAGAACUGGGGAAUGUGCUGUUCUGUGAAGUUUGGACAGGGGACAAGGGACUGGGGUAUAGAGGGGCCAGAAACAAACUAGAAACUGCACGCCUGCGUGGGACCCUCUUGGACAGAAUCCUGAGCAGAGAACUGUGCCAGAGAACUGCAGAGGGCUGUCCUCAGGCUGGAAUUUACAUGGGAAUGGCGGUGUGAAUGGGGUGCUGUAAUCCUUCUAAAAUUGGGGUAAAAUUUGCAUCUGAAUGGCUCAUCAAGUCAAGGUUCCCUGGAAUGUGCAAGUUUCCUUACAACUCCCCAGUCCUCUGAAGGGUUAUUUGCAUCUUUACUUAGCUGGCAUUCUGAACCCUGGUGUACCUCGCUGCUGCUCUUCUGAGUGGUGUCUGUCCUGCGCCAGCGAUGAGGGUGGCCUGCCCUGUGCCCUCCCCGCCCGCUGUCCGCAUCCUCCAGGGAAGCAGAAGGAUGCUGAGCUCUCAGACCAGCUAAGUUGGCCUUCAGUGAGGCAGAUGGGUGUGAUGUGGACACCAGAUACUUUUUAGGAGACUUCACCUAAAAAUCCAGUUUUUUUGUAGAAAAAGAAAAUCAGGAGUUGUGCCCAUACUGAGUCAUAUUCCCCAAGGCUGGAAGGUGUAGCUGGCCUUCAGACAAUGUUAUGGGGCAACCUGUUAGACGUGCUGAGCUCAUGGUCUCACAACAUCAAAUGAGGUUAUGAACCAAAGGAAGAAGUUAGGAGAGUUAUAAAUUGUUGGAAAUAUAGUAUGUCCCUGACUUAUGAUCGAGUUCUGUUCUGGGAGGACGUUCAUAAGUCAGAUUCGUUCCUAAAUCUGACAACAUGAAUCUUGUACACCUUUGACAGAAAUAUACAAUGUAUAUUGCUUUGCACUUCCUAGCAGUCCCUUCCAUGUCACCACUGCUUUCCCUCUUGCUUCCAGGCAUCCUGGGCUCUGACUGGGCACUGUACUACUGUGCACCCUCACACUGUGCAGUAGGCACACAGCAGCACAGCUGUGACAAUGUGCUCGCAACACGUGAGCUACUCUAUGAUUUGUUCACAUCUCCAGAUGUUUGCAAGGUGAGGUCUGUUUGUGUCUGAAAGUUCACAACUUGAAUGUUCUUAAGUCAGAGACUUACUGUAAAGAGAGAAUAGCUCCUGGAUUUCCAGGAGGGAUCCUGAGUGUGUGGUGGACCGAGGUCCUUUGUCAAGGGUAGUUUAUGCAGCAAAAUCACACCAUGGGUUCAAUGUGGGUCAGACUGUAGUCAACCUGUAUGAUUAUAAUAAUAGCUGCUCAGCUAAUACUGAUCCAGUAGGAAACAAGUCACAUAGCAAGGGCACAUGGAAAGAAAAAGGGCAUGGAAAUAUGGAAACAUGGAAAACGUGGAAGGGGACGGAAGUGUUGGUCCAGACGUUCUGGUCACCCAUCUGUGCAUCUGAUGCCUAUGUGUUCUCUCUGGAGCAGGUGGUGCUGAUUAAAGUAAAAUCUCAAGCUGCUGUGUAUCUCUAGGGAAAGCUCGCAGGCCUGGCUAUUGCAUUUCCACUUUGAGGCUUGGCUCUGUUCAGAUUUACCUCCAGCCACAAAUGUGAUGUCUUCAUCUUUUGCACUACUUCCUGGAGGGCCGAUCCUUCUCUGAUUGCCUGUGAAGUUUCUGUCUAACUUAACUGUCUAUAAUAACAGGACUUUGGCCCCCUAUCAUCCCCAUAGUUCAGCUGGCCCCUUGCCCUCACCUUCCCUGUAGGGCCCAGAGGCUUCAUUAAGGGUUCAUCCAACCCCAUGCCAGAGGCUGGACAGUGGACCCCUGCAAAACUUCCGUGUCCUCAACCUGGAGCCAGUGAAUGAGUUACAGUAGGUGGGGGAGGGCCUGUGCCGAUGUGGUCAUCUAAGUAGACCCAGAAUGUAAUAGAGGCAAGAAGGCAGAGAGGAGAUGUUCCACUGAUGGUGAAAGGCAGGGACAACUCUUCUUCUACCCUCUUAGGUUCUCUCACUGGCCCCGUGAAUUAAACUGACAUAAAACAGAUUAGCAAGAGAAUGGGCAGACAGAUUAUAUUAUUUUUACAUACACAGUUGCUUCACAGAAAAGAAAUGAAAACUCAUAUGUCAUCGGGAAGAAGCAGUUAGACAAAAAAUGGUAAGGCACAGAGAAAUGAGCAAAAGAAAAGGGGUUUGGACUCCUAGAGGUGGUAAAUUGUGUGGAGGUGAUUAAGAAUGUCUGGUGGGUGAGGAUUGUUUAGGAAGAUGCCUUCCUGGAAAUUUAUGCCUUGCUUUGAGUCAGGAAGAGGGCAGAGAGCUUUCUUGGUGUUUGGUGUUUCUCACUUGCUUUUGGGUCGAAAUAGUACUUUCCAAAGUGGCAGUUUUGGCAUGGUUUAUACAGAUCCCACUCCCUGGCUUCAGAGAGAGAGGAGUAGGAGUGGCCCAGGUGCAAGGGAUGGCAGGUGACCUCUAGAUUGUGGAAAAGGCAGAGAAAUGUAUUCUUCUUUAGAGCUCCAGAAGAACUCGGCUAGCUUCUCAAUGCUAGCCCAGCCCUCUGCCAGAUGUCUGAUCUCUGGGACUGUAAGAUAAUAUCCAUUGUGUUGCCUUAAGCCACAAGGUUUGGGGUCAUUUUUCACAGUAGCCCUUGGACACCAAUAUAGCUCCCUGAAGACACAGUUUGGUCUUUGAAGGAGCUUCCCAAAGAGAGGCAGGGUGCAUGACCCACCCCUGCUAAGCAGUGAGG
This 16569-nucleotide long non-coding RNA is filed under the name Heterocephalus glaber (naked mole-rat). Its description in RNAcentral is "lncRNA (ENSHGLG00000049571.1)". Lineage: Eukaryota; Metazoa; Chordata; Mammalia; Rodentia; Bathyergidae. The record is from RNAcentral.